GAGCGGUAGCACGGGGGAGCUUGCUCCCUGGGUGACGAGCGGCGGACGGGUGAGUAAUGUCUGGGAAACUGCCUGAUGGAGGGGGAUAACUACUGGAAACGGUAGCUAAUACCGCAUAACGUCGCAAGACCAAAGAGGGGGACCUUCGGGCCUCUUGCCAUCAGAUGUGCCCAGAUGGGAUUAGCUAGUAGGUGGGGUAAUGGCUCACCUAGGCGACGAUCCCUAGCUGGUCUGAGAGGAUGACCAGCCACACUGGAACUGAGACACGGUCCAGACUCCUACGGGAGGCAGCAGUGGGGAAUAUUGCACAAUGGGCGCAAGCCUGAUGCAGCCAUGCCGCGUGUGUGAAGAAGGCCUUCGGGUUGUAAAGCACUUUCAGCGAGGAGGAAGGUGGUGAGCUUAAUACGCUCAUCAAUUGACGUUACUCGCAGAAGAAGCACCGGCUAACUCCGUGCCAGCAGCCGCGGUAAUACGGAGGGUGCAAGCGUUAAUCGGAAUUACUGGGCGUAAAGCGCACGCAGGCGGUUUGUUAAGUCAGAUGUGAAAUCCCCGGGCUCAACCUGGGAACUGCAUUUGAAACUGGCAAGCUAGAGUCUCGUAGAGGGGGGUAGAAUUCCAGGUGUAGCGGUGAAAUGCGUAGAGAUCUGGAGGAAUACCGGUGGCGAAGGCGGCCCCCUGGACG
This 682-nucleotide ribosomal RNA is filed under the name uncultured bacterium. RNAcentral's name for it is "bacterial SSU rRNA". It matches the Rfam family "Bacterial small subunit ribosomal RNA", at positions 64 to 735 of the family's 1533-position model. The record is from RNAcentral.